AGCACUGAAUGGUGAGCCUCAUC
RNAcentral lists this non-coding RNA (23 nucleotides) under Arabidopsis thaliana (thale cress). Lineage: Eukaryota; Viridiplantae; Streptophyta; Magnoliopsida; Brassicales; Brassicaceae. The record is from RNAcentral.